RNAcentral lists this ribosomal RNA (513 nucleotides) under Triticum aestivum (bread wheat). RNAcentral's name for it is "partial small subunit ribosomal RNA". Lineage: Eukaryota; Viridiplantae; Streptophyta; Magnoliopsida; Poales; Poaceae. The record is from RNAcentral.
AUGGGAAGAAGAGGUCAUGGGCGUGCUCAUCGUGACCAUGAAGAUGAUGGGAUUGGUAAAUUCAAACUUACCAUACCAUCGUUCAAUGGGAAAACCGAGCCCGAUGAGUAUUUGGAGUGGGAGAUGCAUGUGGAUCAGAUUUUUGACAGCCACCGCUAUACGAAGGAGAAGAAGGUACGAUAUGCAUCCAUUGAGUUUACUGGAUAUGCUUUGAUUUGGUGGAACCAAUUUUGUCGUGCUGGAGGUCGUCCGGAGACAUGGGUGCAAAUGAAAAAUCUGUUGCGGAGACGGUUUGUUCCUGAACAUUUCACAAGAACCUUGUACAAUCGACUCCAAUGGUUGUGCCAAGAUAAUUCUAGUGUUGAUGAGUACUAUAAAGAGAUGGAGAUUUUGAUGAUUAGGACAGCGGUGAAUGAGCCAGAGGAGGCCACAAUGUCAAGAUUCUUUCAUGGACUGAAUGAAGAUGUGCAAGAAAGGAUAGAGAUGGUUACAUAUCAAGAUUUGCAAGAACUU